UGAAAAUUAUUGAGCAAGGACACUGUGG
RNAcentral lists this non-coding RNA (28 nucleotides) under Mus musculus (house mouse). The record is from RNAcentral. Lineage: Eukaryota; Metazoa; Chordata; Mammalia; Rodentia; Muridae.